RNAcentral lists this ribosomal RNA (492 nucleotides) under uncultured bacterium. Its description in RNAcentral is "partial 16S ribosomal RNA". It matches the Rfam family "Bacterial small subunit ribosomal RNA", at positions 29 to 507 of the family's 1533-position model. The record is from RNAcentral.
AGUGAACGCUGGCGGUAGGCCUAACACAUGCAAGUCGAACGGCAGCACAGUAAGAGCUUGCUCUUACGGGUGGCGAGUGGCGGACGGGUGAGGAAUACAUCGGAAUCUACUUUUUCGUGGGGGAUAACGUAGGGAAACUUACGCUAAUACCGCAUACGACCUACGGGUGAAAGCAGGGGAUCUUCGGACCUUGCGCGAUCUAACGAGCCGUGGUCGGAUUAGCUAGUUGGCGGGGUAAAGGCCCACCAAGGCGACGAUCCGUAGCUGGGCUGAGAGGAGGAUCAGCCACACUGGGACUGAGACACGGUCCAGACUCCUACGGGAGGCAGCAGUGGGGAAUAUUGGACAAUGGGCGCAAGCCUGAUCCAGCCAUACCGCGUGGGUGAAGAAGGCCUUCGGGUUGUAAAGCCCUUUUGUUGGGAAAGAAAGGCAGCAGGUUAAUACCCCGCUGUUCUGACGGUACCCAAAGAAUAAGCACCGGCUAACUUCGUG